Molecule: non-coding RNA, 628 nt
Organism: Cinara cedri
Lineage: Eukaryota; Metazoa; Arthropoda; Insecta; Hemiptera; Aphididae
Source: the annotation of a GenBank genome assembly
ACGACACACACUGAGUAAAUGACACUGAUUUUUGUCCGAAAUGACGCAGUUUAUUUAUUAUACUUCGUAUGACUUAAACUGUGUGUCUAAAGUGUGAGGUUUAUAUUAGAUUAAACUGACCUAUUAUAUAAAAUUUAAAUAUGCUUAGGAGAAGGAAAAUGGACGUAGUCUGGUUAACGGUUAUGAGAUGCGAUGGCAAGAUAGAUUCCAUCGAUUUUUUGUUACAUGUUGAUUCCAAUUCCUUUUUUUACCAUUUUAACAAUUAUUUUAAAUUUCAUUUUUACACAGUGUAACAUGAAACGAACAUAAAAUUAGAACCUUUACUACAAAGGCCGAUUUCACAAUGUUAUUCACGGUUUACAGUCCUUAAUCGCGAUUUACGCGGUAUUUCACCAGGUCCAAUUAAGCGUGACUAUUAACUACCAACUAUAUUACAAAUGAUAUGUUUUUGACUUUGCUACGGAGAUAACUCUGACUGGCUCUUGCUUGCAAUUGAAUCAGAACCCGUAAUACACCAGUUUUUCACCAACGUUAACACAACUACGACAAAUACUGACUGGUCCACGCUCGAAAUACCUUCGGUGCCAAUAGUAUGUUAGUAUUGAGUCAACACUGGCCGCCAGAAUUA